This 371-nucleotide ribosomal RNA is filed under the name uncultured organism. RNAcentral describes it as "bacterial SSU rRNA". It matches the Rfam family "Bacterial small subunit ribosomal RNA", at positions 527 to 896 of the family's 1533-position model. The record is from RNAcentral.
GUAGGGGGCAAGCGUUGUCCGGAUUUAUUGGGCGUAAAGCGCUCGCAGGUGGUUCGUCGCGUCGUGCGUGAAAGACCCCGGCUCAACUGGGGAGGGUCGUGCGAUACGGGCGGACUGGAGGCCAGUAGGGGGAUGCGGAAUUCCGGGUGUAGUGGUGGAAUGCGUAGAGAUCCGGAGGAACACCAGCGGCGAAGGCGGCAUCCUGGACUGGUCCUGACACUCAGGAGCGAAAGCGUGGGGAGCGAUCCGGAUUAGAUACCCGGGUAGUCCACGCUGUAAACGAUGCGCACUAGGUGUCGGGGGUAUCGACCCCCUCGGUGCCGCAGCUAACGCGAUAAGUGCGCCGCCUGGGGACUACGGCCGCAAGGCUA